This is a long non-coding RNA of Dalotia coriaria, 276 nucleotides long. RefSeq lists it as uncharacterized. The record is from RefSeq and is a predicted model, not a curated record. Lineage: Eukaryota; Metazoa; Arthropoda; Insecta; Coleoptera; Staphylinidae. The transcript is spliced from 2 exons.
AUUGAUGAGAAACUCCAGGAAUGGUUUCCACAUUUAAUCAAACCUGAAGAAUUGAUCAAACUCAAAGAAAGUGAAGAUUUAAUGAAGAUGUUUGGUGAUAUUGUGUUGUCAUUUCAACUCCAUGAUAAAGAUAAUAUACCCACAAAUAUUUAUAUUACAAAAUGUGAUCCAAAUGUGGCGGCGUUUUUAGACUUUCACAAACGUUUCCAGGCGCUGAUAGUCUUCUUUAUUGAUGCUGCAUCAAUCAUAGACUACACAGACCCCAACUGGGUGUAU